This 621-nucleotide ribosomal RNA is filed under the name Stenotrophomonas sp. Ri2Ps_5183. Its description in RNAcentral is "bacterial SSU rRNA". It matches the Rfam family "Bacterial small subunit ribosomal RNA", at positions 391 to 1003 of the family's 1533-position model. The record is from RNAcentral. Lineage: Bacteria; Pseudomonadati; Pseudomonadota; Gammaproteobacteria; Lysobacterales; Lysobacteraceae.
GCCAUACCGCGUGGGUGAAGAAGGCCUUCGGGUUGUAAAGCCCUUUUGUUGGGAAAGAAAAGCAAUCGAUUAAUACUCGGUUGUUCUGACGGUACCCAAAGAAUAAGCACCGGCUAACUUCGUGCCAGCAGCCGCGGUAAUACGAAGGGUGCAAGCGUUACUCGGAAUUACUGGGCGUAAAGCGUGCGUAGGUGGUUGUUUAAGUCUGUUGUGAAAGCCCUGGGCUCAACCUGGGAAUUGCAGUGGAUACUGGGCAACUAGAGUGUGGUAAAGGGUAGUGGAAUUCCCGGUGUAACAACGAAAUGCGUAAAGGUCGGGAGGAACAUCCAUGGCGAAGGCAACUACCUGGACCAACACUGACACUGAGGAACAAAAGCGUGGGGAGCAAACACGAUUAAAUACCCUGGUAGUCCACGCCCUAAACGAUGCGAACUGGAUGUUGGGUGCAAUUUGGCACGCACUAUCGAAGCUAACGCGUUAAGUUCGCCGCCUGGGGAGUACGGACGCAAGACUGAAACUCAGAGGAAUUGACGGGGGCCCGCACAAGCGGUGGAGUAAGUGGUUUAAUUCUAUGCCACGCGCAGAACCUUACCUGGACAUGACAUGUCGAGAACUUUCCAG